RNAcentral lists this ribosomal RNA (1107 nucleotides) under Brachionus plicatilis. RNAcentral's name for it is "large subunit ribosomal RNA". The stretch from base 726 to 1055 matches the Rfam family "Bacterial large subunit ribosomal RNA", at positions 2049 to 2651 of the family's 2925-position model. Lineage: Eukaryota; Metazoa; Rotifera; Eurotatoria; Ploima; Brachionidae. The record is from RNAcentral.
CACAUUUAUAUAAAUGGUUUUAACUAGUAUUAAAGAGAAAGUAAUCAUCACGUCUAUUUUUAUAAAUCUAAUAAAAGUAUUAAAAAGUACCUUUUAGUUACCUUUUGUAUCAUGAACAUACGAGAAAUCUAAAUGACCUAUCUUUCCCGAACCUAAGAGAUCUACCUUUUAACAUGCGCUAUUGUAGCAAUAAUGGCGUCAAUAAAUUGUAGUUAUGAAAAUUUAACCGAUCUUAGUUAUACCUGGUUCUGCUCCUCAUAAUAUAAAAUAAUAGCCACAGCUUGGCUAAUAUGUUACUUGGUUAAGCUAAGUAAUCUAAAGUUAAUUACUCUAAUUCCUAAAGAACAAGAUCUAAAAGUAGUCUUUAUUUAGUGUCAUUAUCGCUUUCUAUUCUAUAUAUCUUAAUCCUUUAAAAUGACUUUUAUCGGAGUGGAUUUUUGUUUAAUUACUUAACAUAAUCUAUAAUGUAUGUAUUACUAGCUUAUGAAUAUAUUGUAUUAAUCUUGUAGGUUAUGGAACCAGAACUCGGCUCAUUUUCUUCAACUGUUUAUUAAAAACAUAGCUUUGAGAUAUAUUCAAAGUGUCUUCUGCCCACUGAUAUCGUUUAAUGGCCGCAGUACCCUGACUGUGCUAAGGUAGCGUGAUUCUUGUUUUCUUAAUUAGAAAUCUGUUCAAAGAAUGAAAUGAAGAGAAUCUAUUGUUUCCAUAUAAAGUGAACUUAAAUUGUUAGUGAAAAUUCUGACAAGCGUUUAAAAGACGAGAAGACCCCACAAAACUUAAUUUGAUCUCUUUUUCAAGGGUUUAAAAUUUAAAUGGGGACUUUAGAGUAUAAUAAUAACUCAAAGACCUAUUUCUAUAAUAUUAGCGAAGCUACUUUGGGGAUAACAGGGUAAAAUAUUUAGAGAGUUCAUAUCGAUAAAUAUAUCUACUACCUCGAUGUUGGAUUAUCUUUUCAUAUAUAUUGCAGCAGUAUAUAUUGUUAGUCUGUUCGACUAUUAAAAAGUUACAUGAUCUGAGUUUAAACCGUUGUGAGACAGGUUGGAUUUUAUCUUUACACAAGAUUUAAAUGUGUUAGUACGAAAGGAAUUCAUAUUUGUAAUAAUUACU